GUUAGCAUAGUUAACCGUUCUAUAUUUCUUUUUACUCAAAUAAUUAAAAAAAAUAAUUAUGUAUUAUAAAAGAUAUUAAACGGUCAUCUUGACAACCGUUUUGUAUUAUAUUAUUUUUUUAAUUAGGAGGAAAUUACAUACGGAGUAAUAAUUUACCCAAAUUAUCAAAUUAAAGUGGAUAAAAGUGAAAAUUGAAGGCAUUGAAGCCCGCAUCACUUACACUUUCAUGAAUUUCAUCAAAAAGUGAAACCUUUUUCUCAUUCAUCAUAAAAAAAAAAAAGUGAAACCUCCAUCAAACCUCCAUAGCAAAACCUUCAUCAUCCGCUUAUUGUUCAGCUCCACCGCCGCUCUACCGCUGCUCCACCAUCGCUCUACCGCCGCUCCACUUCUGCUGUACCGGACCUGUCUGCUGAGCCACCAGUAAAUUGAGCAAUUUAAAGGAACGCGCGGAAUUUGUGGUUUGCAGAAGAUGUUGGAGGUGACUGUUGUGGUUUUUGUCUAAAUUGGCUUGUCACCUCCUUGUGAUAUAGAUGGUUUCUGUGGCAGUGAAGGAGAUGGAGAUGGCUUAGGCUGUGCUGGCGCCACUUCUGCUGGAUGGAAAGGGGGCCGCUGUGCAGGUGGUUGAGAUGGUACUUAGGUCUCUUGGCUGGGACGUGGAGUAACAGGUGCUUGCUGAGGUUGUAAUUGUUUGAGCUGGUGCUUGGGCCACUUUGCUGGAACUGUGUACUAAUAUCUGCUUGCUACGUUUUGUCAAAAAAGAAAAACGAUAUACUUAUUUAUAUUUAUUUAGAUGAACUUAUUUUAUAUUAUUAACUAAUAUGUAUAUAUUUUACAUUGUUUUGUAGUAUU
Chenopodium quinoa (quinoa) is the source of this 849-nucleotide long non-coding RNA. RefSeq lists it as uncharacterized. Lineage: Eukaryota; Viridiplantae; Streptophyta; Magnoliopsida; Caryophyllales; Amaranthaceae. The record is from RefSeq and is a predicted model, not a curated record. The transcript is spliced from 3 exons.